GAUGAACGCUAGCGGCAGGCCUAACACAUGCAAGUCGAGGGGCAGCACGUCUUCGGAUGGUGGCGACCGGCGCACGGGUGCGUAACGCGUAUGCAACCUACCUCUUACAGUGGGAUAGCCCAGAGAAAUUUGGAUUAAUACCGCAUAGUAUACAGAUUCAGCAUUGGGACUGUAUUAAACAUUUAUGGGUAAGAGAUGGGCAUGCGUUCUAUUAGUUAGUUGGAGUGGUAACGGCACCCCAAGACAGCGAUAGAUAGGGCCCGUCGAGAGGGGAGUCCCCCACCACUGGUACUGAGACACGGACCAGACGUCCUACGGGAGGCAGCAGUGAGGAAUAUUGGACAAUGGGCGAGAGCCUGAUCCAGCCAUGCCGCGUGCAGGAAGACGGCCCUAUGGGUUGUAAACU
This 406-nucleotide ribosomal RNA is filed under the name uncultured bacterium. Its description in RNAcentral is "bacterial SSU rRNA". It matches the Rfam family "Bacterial small subunit ribosomal RNA", at positions 28 to 431 of the family's 1533-position model. The record is from RNAcentral.